This is a non-coding RNA of Chloroflexi bacterium 13_1_40CM_4_68_4, 72 nucleotides long. The record is from Rfam. NCBI's taxonomy places the organism in Bacteria, Bacillati, Chloroflexota.
GCCCCCGUAGCUCAGUGGAUAGAGUGUCGGCCUCCGGAGCCGAAGACCGCGGUUCGAGUCCGCGCGGGGGUA